UGUUGAGAGAGGGGUGGUUGUUGACGCGGUUUCAAAUUAGGCGCUGUUCUCUUUUCACAUUUAUUAGAGAUUUUGGAUAAGAUUUUUUUUUACUUAAACACACUAUUGAAAAAAGUUGUUAUAUAAGCUUAACCAGACGUGAAGUAGUAUCAGAAUAAAAGUCACUUCGAGUUUCACACCCUAUCUGUACUGUACACAAAUAUUUGCCGCCAUUUUUCUGCAGGCAGAAGCUCUACUAACAGGUCUUGCGCUCUUACAUUAUCAUCAGACAACCUUUUGAUACAGUUUAACUUUUUUAGUCAGUCCUUGAAAUGACUACUAAAAAGAAACGCUCUGCGCGCUCCGACAACGACAGCUGGGUUGUCAUUGCUCCAGAUUCAGCACUGGACACAGGCAGGUCUGAAGAGGGUGAUCCGUCCUUCAUCAAACUAAAGAAUCCUGCUACAGGCAGUUCUUCACUGUAUCUGUUUGGCUGUGGUGAUGUCUGUGUUUAUGAAGUAAAAGCCUUUU
Sinocyclocheilus grahami is the source of this 510-nucleotide long non-coding RNA. RefSeq lists it as uncharacterized. The transcript is spliced from 3 exons. The record is from RefSeq and is a predicted model, not a curated record. Lineage: Eukaryota; Metazoa; Chordata; Actinopteri; Cypriniformes; Cyprinidae.